Non-coding RNA from Balearica regulorum gibbericeps (East African grey crowned-crane), 423 nucleotides. Lineage: Eukaryota; Metazoa; Chordata; Aves; Gruiformes; Gruidae. The record is from the annotation of a RefSeq genome assembly.
AUGCUGCUGCUGGCAGCGCUUCUGGCCACAGCCGCUUGCUCUUACGGAUAUGCACAAGAACUACCCAUGCAGAGCCAUAUAUCAAUCCCCAAGGCUAAAGGCAGUGUACGCCUGGAAUGUGACUUUAAAGAUAUCUCUGAAGAUUUUGGUGGCCUUGUGAUACAUUGGUAUCAUCAGAAGGAGGGUAAAGCUCCACAGAGGCUACUGUUCUUUUCAUCAGGGACAGCUUCAGUUGAAAGUGGCUUUCAAGCAUACAGGUACAUGGUUGAAAAAGUUUCUGGCCAGAAACGGUGUGUUUUCACAAUAAAAGAUGUAAUUCCAGACGAUGCUGCUACUUACUACUGCGCCUACUGGGAACCUCACUGUUACAGAAACUCUAAGAUCAUUCAGGCAAUAAUUAAAAGCCCCUCCCUUAACGUCUGA